Small nucleolar RNA from Juglans regia (Persian walnut), 107 nucleotides. The record is from RefSeq and is a predicted model, not a curated record. Lineage: Eukaryota; Viridiplantae; Streptophyta; Magnoliopsida; Fagales; Juglandaceae.
AAUCCAUGUUGAGGGCAGCGUCAAAUCAAAUCUUUAUACAUUUCCCUUACUUCAUAGAGUAACUCAAAAUCAUUUUAUUUGAAUUGAACAAUCUCACUCCCGAGUUU